GGCCCGGGCAGCGGCGCGGCGGCAGCCGCCUUCGGCGGCCCGCCGGGAGCGGCGGGCGCGGGCCCGUCGGGGCCGGCGUUCGGCGCGCAGGCCGGGCCG
RNAcentral lists this transfer RNA (99 nucleotides) under Streptomyces violaceochromogenes. RNAcentral's name for it is "tRNA-Gly". The record is from RNAcentral. Lineage: Bacteria; Bacillati; Actinomycetota; Actinomycetes; Kitasatosporales; Streptomycetaceae.